GUGAGGGUAGAGCGGGGUUUCCCCCGCCCUGGUAGUCUUAGUAUGCUGGGUAGCUAAUGACUAAGAGCACCACGAUGAUGAGUAGCUUCAUCAUGACCCUUUCCUUAUUUAAGGCCCCUUCCUCGGGAGGGGCUUU
Molecule: non-coding RNA, 136 nt
Filed under: Escherichia coli LF82
Lineage: Bacteria; Pseudomonadati; Pseudomonadota; Gammaproteobacteria; Enterobacterales; Enterobacteriaceae
Also listed under: 1 other name
Description: Novel sRNA, function unknown; paralogous to the other QUad sRNA genes
Rfam family: Short Intergenic Abundant RNA (bases 1-109)
About the family: This family contains multiple ncRNA from E. coli that were identified in a large scale screen of E. coli, were they were called candidates 43,55 and 61. These RNAs have also been identified by other groups and called QUAD RNAs.
Source: RNAcentral